RNAcentral lists this long non-coding RNA (378 nucleotides) under Solanum tuberosum (potato). Its description in RNAcentral is "long non-coding RNA (STUB_LNC000148)". The record is from RNAcentral. Lineage: Eukaryota; Viridiplantae; Streptophyta; Magnoliopsida; Solanales; Solanaceae.
AUUUUUCUUUUCAUGGCGCGGAUUUCUUUGUCCAUUUAUGUCGAGGUUUCCAUGGCUCAAGCUUUUAUGAGUUUUGACAUUUUCAACUAAAAUAGUUCUUUUUUUCAUAAGUAUGUGUUGUUCUACUACCAUGUUUAGUUUUUAGUCUAGAUGCUUAUUUUCUUCAAUAAUCCAAUGAUGAGAUUCCUGAUGGUUGAUGGUUAUUGUCUCAUGGACAUCUGACAAGUACUCAAUUUUGGAUCUUUUGAAAGCCUCGUAAAAUGGUAGUCUCUUUUGGUGUUCUCGCUGCUCAUCAUUUGUGCUUUCUUUUUCUUGUAUUAUGCUUGCUUGAUUUUGUUUGUUGGAUGUAUGUAUGGUGACAGUUGAGAGGAAUAUGAC